CGGAUCUGUAAGUCAGUGGUGAAAUCUCACAGCUCAACUGUGAAACUGCCAUUGAUACUGCAGGUCUUGAGUAAGGUAGAAGUGGCUGGAAUAAGUAGUGUAGCGGUGAAAUGCAUAGAUAUUACUUAGAACACCAAUUGCGAAGGCAGGUCACUAUGUCUUAACUGACGCUGAUGGACGAAAGCGUGGGGAGCGAACAGGAUUAGAUACCCUGGUAGUCCACGCCGUAAACGAUGCUAACUCGUUUUUGGGGCUUUAUGCUUCAGAGACUAAGCGAAAGUGAUAAGUUAGCCACCUGGGGAGUACGUUCGCAAGAAUGAAACUCAAAGGAAUUGACGGGGGCCCGCACAAGCAGCGGAGCAUGUGGUUUAAUUCGAAGCAACGCGAAGAACCUUACCUAGACUUGACAUCUCCUGCAUUACCCUUAAUCGGGGAAGUUCCUUCGGGGACAGGAUGACAGGUGGUGCAUGGUUGUCGUCAGCUCGUGUCGUGAGAUGUUGGGUUAAGUCCCGCAACGAGCGCAACCCUCGUUCUAUGUUGCCAGCACGUAAUGGUGGGGACUCAUAGGAGACUGCCGGGGUUAACUCGGAGGAAGGUGGGGAUGACGUCAAAUCAUCAUGCCCCUUAUGUCUUGGGCUUCACGCAUGCUACAAUGGCCGGUACAAAGGGUUGCGAUACUGUGAGGUUGAGCUAAUCCCAAAAAGCCGGUCUCAGUUCGGAUUGGGGUCUGCAACUCGACCCCAUGAAGUCGGAGUCGCUAGUAA
This 764-nucleotide ribosomal RNA is filed under the name uncultured Bacteroidota bacterium. Its description in RNAcentral is "bacterial SSU rRNA". It matches the Rfam family "Bacterial small subunit ribosomal RNA", at positions 576 to 1341 of the family's 1533-position model. Lineage: Bacteria; Pseudomonadati; Bacteroidota. The record is from RNAcentral.